Long non-coding RNA from Mustela erminea (ermine), 774 nucleotides. RefSeq lists it as uncharacterized. Lineage: Eukaryota; Metazoa; Chordata; Mammalia; Carnivora; Mustelidae. The record is from RefSeq and is a predicted model, not a curated record. The transcript is spliced from 3 exons.
CUCUUGAGAAGUCAUUUAAAAUAUCGUGAUAACUCAGAGACAUCACAUGACCUCAGUCCAAAUCCUGUGAGGUCUAGUCCACAUCUCUUGAGAACUUAUUCCAAAGCUCACGAGAUCUUACUCCAAUGCAAUUUGGGCCGAAAGCUCAUGAGAAGUGGCCAGAACCCCCCCCAGUGAACUCGCUUCCUGCAGCGGGGCACUCAAAGGAGUUGCCUGGGCCUGGCCCGUGGUCCUGCUGGGUUGUGGCAGGAACCUCCCGAGAGCGGGCUCCAAAAGCCAGGAAUGCGCGCAGGUGGCCCAGAUCACCACAGAUGGCCAGCUGCCCUCCCCAGCCUCCGCCCCUGGGGAUCCCGCCUCAGUGCCGGCAGAUGGGGCCUGCCAUGCUCCUAGGCCCGAACCCUAACCCUAGGUUGGGUUUUCAGGUUUCCGUCCCCAGACGCCUGGCCCCCAAGCCCUCCAGACUGGGGACCCCUGAGCCACACCCCAGGACUCUGCAAGGGGCCUGGAAGGUUGCAACACAAACCUAGCGAGAAAGCGCUCCAAACACGGGGCGCGCACAACGCCAGCCAAUUCUGACAGCUGUAAGGCGUGCAGCCUGCUGUAGAUGCUCUCUCCCCCUUUUCUUCUGCCCCUCCCCCGCUCUCUCAAACACAAAAAAGCACAAGGGAGUGAUGUAGCUAUUAAUAAUUUUUACAGAAUUUCAGAAAAUACAAAUCCCUGUCAGAAUCCAUUACUGGGGGCGCCUGGGUGGCUCAGUGGGUUAAAGCCUCUGCC